This 705-nucleotide long non-coding RNA is filed under the name Neodiprion lecontei (redheaded pine sawfly). Its description in RNAcentral is "uncharacterized LOC124292881, transcript variant X2". The record is from RNAcentral. Lineage: Eukaryota; Metazoa; Arthropoda; Insecta; Hymenoptera; Diprionidae.
AGGACCUGCAAGAUUUAUUGAAGUUCUAGAGUACUAAUUCAUACAAAAUUUUGUACUUCUUCAUGAAAGUAUUUCAAUUUUUACCUCGUACAACUGUUGCCACAAACUUGGGUUUGCAUCACAAGGAUGAUUUGGCUCUUUAAUAGUAUCUGGACACAACUCCGUUGUUUUCCACUUAUUAGCAAAAGGAACUACAGACUGUUCAAUGUCACCAUCAGGUGUGACAAAAUCAUCUUUCUGGUUCAAUGUAAAUGUUCCACACAGGCCUUCUGUCUUGCCUAAAAGCAUCAAUCGAAAGAUAAAGAUGUGAAAUUGGUGGUGCGUUAACGUAUACACGAGAUAUUCCAUCCCACCAUACGUCUAUGCCAUUCGACAGCUCGGCGAUCAGAAAAAUGCUGCUGGCUACUCGAAGUUUUAUUCCUCCCAAUGUGACAGUUUUAGUGCACGAUGGAGCCUCAGAUGACAAUGAUGACGUGUAACCCAUAUUCUAUUAAAUUACAAAUAUUACACAUUACGAAUAUUGAUUGUACUAUCAAAAGAAGCAUGAAAAAAAUGAUGGUGCAAUAUUACAUUUUGAAAAUGAAGGCCAUAUAUAUUAUCGCAAACAUAUGAAAGACUAUGUACUGAAAAUAUAUGUAAGAAGCUUGGAAUAUGAAAUAAUGAGAGGAAACCAUUUCCAACAAUAAAUAAUUUAUAUUCACCUCA